UGGGGAAUAUUGGACAAUGGGGGAAACCCUGAUCCAGCCAUGCCGCGUGAGUGAUGAAGGCCUUCGGGUUGUAAAGCUCUUUUGGCGGGGACGAUGAUGACGGUACCCGCAGAAUAAGCCCCGGCUAACUUCGUGCCAGCAGCCGCGGUAAGACGAAGGGGGCUAGCGUUGUUCGGAAUUACUGGGCGUAAAGCGAGUGUAGGUGGUUGUCAUAGUCAGGUGUGAAAGCCUUGAGCUCAACUCAAGAAAUGCACUUGAUACUAGGCGACUAGAGGACCGGAGAGGAUAGUGGAAUUCCCAGUGUAGUGGUGAAAUACGUAGAGAUUGGGAAGAACACCAGUGGCGAAGGCGGCUAUCUGGACGGUUUCUGACACUAAGACUCGAAAGCGUGGGGAGCAAACAGG
Molecule: ribosomal RNA, 404 nt
Filed under: uncultured bacterium
Lineage: Bacteria
Description: bacterial SSU rRNA
Rfam family: Bacterial small subunit ribosomal RNA
Source: RNAcentral